GGCCACCAGCCGCCUCUCCGGCUCCGAGCCCCAAAGGACCCCUGGCAGCCGCGCAAAGCCGGCCGGAAGACAGCCGCACCGCCCCUCCCGGUCCAGGCCCAGCCUGCCUGGCCAAGGAUCAAAGAGACAGGGCCUUGCUUCUCAGCGCUCAGAUUCUAUCAGCGUCCUGCCAGCGAGGCUUCUGGGUCUUCCAGCUCCCGAUUGGGAUGCCCAUUUUUUUCUCCCUCCCCGGAGCUGAGGGACUUGGCCAUUAGUGCUCAGCUUGGCAAUAGAGAUGCGGUGCAGAUCCCGCCCUUGACGCCUCUCCAGUCUUCCUUCCGCAGGUGCCAGCUUGCUGCUGAUUUUGACCCCAUCCUCUCAAGACUGGGGGCAGGGCAAGGACUCCAGCAGAAAGAGACAGGAGAGGAAAGGUCCCGGGGUGAGGCCUCCCUGACCUCAGCUCCAAGGUUGUCUGGGGUGGACCACCUUUCUGAGAAAGUUGCAGAGAAAUUAACAUCAUCUUAAGCCAUCUUAAGGCACUGUGGAUCCUCCCAUGUUUAUGGGCGACUCCAGUUCAGGCAAAGUUGCUUCCAUGCUGGCUGGCAGACUAUGAGGUCCCAACUGACACAGGCCAUUGGGGAUCGAAUUUCUCUAUAUCCAAGAAGUCAAGGAAGGGGAGAUGAGAUCUCACCCCCCACCCCUGCAGGGUUCAGAGGGCCUGUUACCACUAUUUCCCACAGGCCAGAUCCCACACUGGAUUCCCAACAAAUGGACCUGGAAUUCACUCAUCAGAAGGAAUGAUCUGGGUCAGAGUCAGCAAGGUACCCAAGAAUGACCCCCACUCGUUCAGCUCCCACUCGUUCUGAAUACUGGGCUUGCAGACAUACACCACCACUUUUAUGUGGUACUGGGAAUGAACCCAGGACUUCAUGCUUGCUGGGCAAGAAGUUUAUCAACUCUCCUGGAUUUCCACCAGUCCUAGUUAGGGUUUCUGUUGCUGAGAUGAAACACCAUGACUGAAGCAAGUUGAGGAGGAAAGGGUUUAUUUGGCUUACACUUCCAUAUCACAGUCUAUCACUGAAGGAAGUCAGGACAGGAACUCAAGCAGGGCAGGAUCCUAGAGACAGGAGCUAAUGCAGAGGGCAUGGGAAGGGGCUGCUCACUGGCUUGCUCGUUAUGGCUGGCUCAGCCUGAUUUGUUAUAGAACUCAAAUAUCACCAGCCUAGGGAUGGCCUCACUCACAAUGGGCUGGGCCCUCACCCGUCAAUCACUAAUUAAU
Molecule: non-coding RNA, 1258 nt
Organism: Cricetulus griseus (Chinese hamster)
Lineage: Eukaryota; Metazoa; Chordata; Mammalia; Rodentia; Cricetidae
Source: RefSeq, a predicted model, not a curated record